Molecule: RNA transcript, 3513 nt
Organism: Phoenix dactylifera (date palm)
Lineage: Eukaryota; Viridiplantae; Streptophyta; Magnoliopsida; Arecales; Arecaceae
Gene name: phosphatidylinositol 4-phosphate 5-kinase 1
Source: RefSeq, a predicted model, not a curated record
UCGGGUGAGCGAAAGAGAGGAAAUAGUGGGGAAGCACCAACCGAAAGAGGGGACAAAAAAAGGGGGGAAUGAAGUGGUUGAAACGAACAGAACUACUGCAAGGAAGGAGGAAAAUGAAAACGAGAGUUGGAAUCCGACGUGGUGAUCACCAGACGGGCCAAAGCCGUAUUUAAAUCCGAAUCGAUUGAAGCCCGAAAGGUCUCCCUCUGGUCGGUGACGUGAUCUCAGCUCCACCGCCACUACCCUGUCCUUUCUUCCUCUCUCCCUCCCUCCUUCCCUGCUUCUCAGGGAAUCAUUCUUUUUCUCUUGGCGGGGAACAGCGACGGCUAUCUACUUCGAUCCCUUUAUCUAGAGGAAUCUCAAUGCUUCUAAUUUUUUAUAAAAUUGUAGGUUUUGAUUUACCUCGGAGGUAGUGUCCACAAGGAUCGGCGUUGGAUUUGUUUCCGAGCUGCUGCGAGGCUGCAAACAGUUGUUCAUUGUUGGAAUUCUGGGUUUGUUGCUGUCCUAUGUAGGCAGUGUAAGAACUGCUUCCUCGCUUCGAUCUCAUCUAUGAAUAAUCAUGCAUCCAGACAAGACAGGUAUAGAGAGGAGCUGUGAGGACAGUGAAAGGCAUCGUGAGAAGGUCCUUCCUAAUGGUGAUGUCUAUGUUGGAAACUUUGAUGGGUUAUUUCCUCAUGGGACGGGAAAAUAUAUAUGGUCAGAUGGAACACUCUAUGAGGGAGAAUGGGAGAAAAGCAAAAUGACUGGCAGAGGACGGAUUUACUGGCCAUCUGGGGCCACAUAUGAAGGUGACAUCUGUGGAGGUUUCCUUCAUGGUUCUGGCACUUUUUAUGGGCUUGAUGGCUCUGUUUACAAAGGGUCUUGGAGGAUGAACAUACAGCAUGGAAUGGGAACUAAAACAUAUCCUAAUUCGGGUAUUUAUGAGGGUCUUUGGAAGGAAGGAUUGCAAGAAGGUAUUGGUAGAUACACAUGGAGUAACAGAAACACUUAUAUUGGAAACUGGAAAGCUGGAAAAAUGAGUGGCAGAGGAGUUAUGAAGUGGGAAAAUGGUGAUUUAUUUGAUGGUGUUUGGUUGGAUGGAUUAAAGCAUGGCUCGGGUUACUACAAGUAUGCAGACGGGGCAUAUUAUUUUGGAACAUGGAGUAGGGGCCUAAAGGAUGGGCGGGGAAUUUUUUAUGCAGCUGGAAGCAAACUACCUAAGCAGAAGUUUUCUGAAUCUGUGGUAUGUAAUGAUGGAGCUCAAAGUCUUUGUCCUGCUUCACUGAUGAGUUCUGAAGGACUCAGGAAUAAACCAUUGCAUAAGAAAAGAUACAGUUUUGAUGGAUGGAAUACAAGUAGUUAUUUCUGUCGUUCUGGACGAAUAUCCCAUAGGCCUGUGUCAUUUGAAGGAAUUUGGAAUCUUAGUGAUUCUGCUGGUAGCGUUUUAUCACAAGACAGUUCCCUCACAUUGUCCUCUUCAUCUGAUGAAGGUCAGCAUAAGCUCCAGCAUGACAAUGUUUUGGUUUAUGAAAGGGAAUAUGCGCAAGGAAUAUUAAUAAUGGAAAGAACAAGAAGUUCUGAUUCUGGUGUAAAACGCAAAACAAAAUGGCACCAUAAGAUUCAAAGAAAACAACCAAGUGGGCCAGGUGAAGCUAUUCACAAAGGUCACAAGAGCUAUUAUCUGAUGCUUAACUUACAACUUGGAAUUAGGUAUACAGUCGGAAAAAUCACACCUGUGCCUAUGCGUGAAGUUCGUUCCUCCGAUUUUGGACCAAGAGCUAGAAUACAGAUGUACUUCCCUAGCAAGGGUUCCCAGUUCACACCUCCACAUCACUCCAUUGAUUUCUUCUGGAAGGACUAUUGUCCAAUGGUUUUUAGGAAUCUUCGGGAAAUGUUUAAGAUAGAUGCUGCAGACUACAUGAUGUCCAUAUGUGGGGGUGACGAUCUGAAGGAGCUUUCUUCUCCUGGGAAAAGUGGCAGCAUAUUUUAUCUUUCACAAGAUGAAAGAUUUGUAAUCAAGACUCUAAGAAAAUAUGAACUUAAGAUUUUGUUGAAGAUGCUUCCCAAAUAUUAUAAUCAUGUCGGAAUUUAUGAUAAUACCCUGAUAACAAAAUUUUUUGGUCUUCAUACAAUAACAAUAAAAGGUGUACGGAAGGUCCGGUUUGUUGUGAUGGGAAAUAUGUUUUGCACGGGGUUGCACAUUCAUCGUCGAUAUGACUUGAAAGGUUCAUCCCAAGGAAGGUCAACAAGCAAGCAUAACAUAAAUGAAAACACGACUUUAAAGGAUCUUGAUCUGUCAUAUGUUUUCCAUUUGGAGAGGUCAUGGCGUGAUUCGCUUUUUAGACAAAUCUCUCUAGACUGCAUGUUCCUAGAAUCACAAUGUAUAAUUGAUUAUAGCAUGCUGUUGGGGCUGCAUUUUAGGGCUCCUGAACAUUUGAAGGCUCUCUUGGAAUGUCAACAUACACUUCAAAACAGUUCAAGCUCACAAGCCAACAACUCUGAUGAACCAUCGCAAGAUGAGGUCACAGUUCCACCAAAGGGUUUGCUUUUGGUUGCUCAUGAACCAGGUUCUGUGAGUACCAUGCCCGGUUCACACAUUAGAGGCAGCACAUUAAGGGCAUCUGCAGUUGGUGAUGAGGAGGUUGAUCUUAUUUUGCCUGGCACAGGAAGGUUGAGGGUGCAGUUAGGAGUUAACAUGCCAGCUCAAGCUCAUAGGAAGCUUCUUCACAAUGAAGUCCCCGAUUCAGCAGAAAUCGAUCACUUUGAGGUCUAUGAUGUCGUUCUCUAUCUUGGAAUUAUAGAUAUAUUGCAGGAGUAUGACAUGACUAAGAAAAUUGAGCAUGCCUAUAAAUCACUGAAGUUUGAUCCCCUGUCCAUCUCCACAGUUGAACCUAAGCUGUAUUCCAAACGUUUCAUUAGUUUCUUGGAGAAAGUUUUCCCUGAGCAGAUUUGAGUUGGGAAAAUUAUAAUGCAGCAAGUUAUCAAUCAUUCCAUGGUUUGCUGGAGUCGUAUUUCAUAGCCAAACUGAGAAAAGCAUAGGAGUCAGUCCAGAAUUUUCCAUGUAUUGUACCACGUACCAGCAUUACUUUUCAUUAUUUUUUUAUUCAUUCUCUAUUCACUGCUCAGCUGUUCAACUGGCUGCGGAUGGAGAUCUGGUCUGAAUCUUCCAGGAGAAUGGUCUUCCCUGCUACCAAAUGACUGAUUUGAGUAAAACUGGCAACUAGCCAAAAGGGUUGACGGUAUCUGGACAGAGUCAAGGUCUUAAACUGCUCCAUAUUACUUUCAGGACCACUGGAAAAUUGGCAUGCAAAUUAUGGUGAUGGAGAGGAGCUAAUGGGUGAGAAACCUAGAUAUCCUGCUGCAGAUUAAUGUGAUGUGGCUUCGUAAUUCAUCUUAUGAUAAGCAACUUUUUGACUGCUAUAAUUGACCAUCUCUUAUUUUCAAAAUGAUUAAAAUGUGCUACGAGUUAUGCCAUAUUCAAACCUUAUAUGGAAUUUAUACUACCCAAUCUCAUAUUUACACACAAAAAAAAAA